RNAcentral lists this transfer RNA (75 nucleotides) under Ignavibacteria bacterium. Its description in RNAcentral is "tRNA-Phe". Lineage: Bacteria; Pseudomonadati; Ignavibacteriota; Ignavibacteria. The record is from RNAcentral.
GUAAGCUCUUGUAAACUAUGGUAGAGCAAAGGACUGAAAAUCCUUGUGCCGGCGGUCCGAUUCCGUCUAUGUCCA